AUGAACGCUGGCGGCGUGCCUAAUACAUGCCAGUCGAGCGCACGGACGAGAAGCUUGCUUCUCUGAUGUUAGCGGCGGACGGGUGAGUAACCCGUGGAUAACCUACCUAUAAGACUGGGAUAACUUCGGGAAACCGGAGCUAAUACCGGAUAAUAUUUUGAACCGCAUGGUUCAAAAGUGAAAGACGGUCUUGCUGUCACUUAUAGAUGGAUCCGCGCUGCAUUAGCUAGUUGGUAAGGUAACGGCUUACCAAGGCAACGAUGCAUAGCCGACCUGAGAGGGGGAUAGGCCACAGUGGAACAGAGACACAGACCAGACUCCUGCGGGAGGCAGCAGUAGGGAAUCUUGCGCAAUGGGCGAAAGUCUGACAGAGCAACGCUGCGUGAGGGAUGAAGGUGUUCGGAACGUAAAACUCUGUUAUUAGGGAAGAACAAAUGUGUAAGUAACUAUGCACGUCUUGACGGGACCUAAUCAGAAAGCCACGGCUAACUACGUG
This 496-nucleotide ribosomal RNA is filed under the name uncultured bacterium. Its description in RNAcentral is "partial 16S ribosomal RNA". It matches the Rfam family "Bacterial small subunit ribosomal RNA", at positions 29 to 507 of the family's 1533-position model. The record is from RNAcentral.